GACUGUGGCCGAAUCACCCAGAAUACGGCCAAUCUCGUCAGAUCUCAAAAGCUAAGCAGGGUCGUGCCUGGACACUGCUUGGAUGGAUGAACACCAUGCAUAAGGGAGUCUAGUCUGCUGGGGUUG
This 126-nucleotide ribosomal RNA is filed under the name Petromyzon marinus (sea lamprey). The record is from RNAcentral. Lineage: Eukaryota; Metazoa; Chordata; Hyperoartia; Petromyzontiformes; Petromyzontidae.